GGAUUAGAUACCCUGGUAGUCCACGCCGUAAACGAUGUCUACUAGUUGUCGGUGGUCUUGUACUGCUGGUAACGCAGCUAACGCGAUAAGUAGACCGCCUGGGGAGUACGGCCGCAAGGUUAAAACUCAAAUGAAUUGACGGGGGCCCGCACAAGCGGUGGAGCAUGUGGUUUAAUUCGAUGCAACGCGAAGAACCUUACCUACCCUUGACAUCAUCAGAACUUGUUAGAGAUAACUCGGUGCCUUCGGGAACUGAUAGACAGGUGCUGCAUGGCUGUCGUCAGCUCGUGCCG
This 293-nucleotide ribosomal RNA is filed under the name uncultured bacterium. RNAcentral's name for it is "partial 16S ribosomal RNA". It matches the Rfam family "Bacterial small subunit ribosomal RNA", at positions 775 to 1067 of the family's 1533-position model. The record is from RNAcentral.